CGGGAUGUAGCUCAGCUUGGUAGAGCACCUGAUUUGGGACCAGGAAUCGUAUGUUCAAAUCGUGUCAUCCCGA
RNAcentral lists this transfer RNA (73 nucleotides) under Paenibacillus xylanivorans. It matches the Rfam family "tRNA". Rfam says of the family: Transfer RNA (tRNA) molecules are approximately 80 nucleotides in length. Their secondary structure includes four short double-helical elements and three loops (D, anti-codon, and T loops). Lineage: Bacteria; Bacillati; Bacillota; Bacilli; Caryophanales; Paenibacillaceae. The record is from Rfam by way of RNAcentral.